Gadus morhua (Atlantic cod) is the source of this 2169-nucleotide long non-coding RNA. RefSeq lists it as uncharacterized. The transcript has 2 exons. The record is from RefSeq and is a predicted model, not a curated record. NCBI's taxonomy places the organism in Eukaryota, Metazoa, Chordata, Actinopteri, Gadiformes, Gadidae.
AGGAGGGCUGAGAACCCUCCAAAGGGUACUCGGUAAUUGAUUAACUUCCCUAUAAAAAGGUCACAUUCCACAGUGCCUCCUGGUGGACAGAUGGUGAACUAGGCCGUAUGGAGUGCAGAAUAGGCCUCAGGUUAUUGGAGUCAAUGGAUCCUAAUCCUGGUGGGCUGGAGUCUCUCUGAGACUCUGAGAGCUUCGUCAGGCUCUGUUGAGAGGUUCCCUCGCUGGCGUGAGGCUCUGUUGAGAUGUUCCCCGCUGGCGUGAGGCUCUGUUGAGAGGUUCCCUCGCUGGCGUGAGGCUCUGUUGAGAUGUUCCCCGCUGGCGUUACGCCUGAUUUCCACCGGGGAUGUAAGCGUCCCAGGAGCGGCUCGCUGCGCCGCAGUGCUAUCAUUCCGUAGCACUUCUAUUUUUGACGCGAGCCGUUGCUAAACCGGGUCAAUUUCAACAGAGCAGAUCGAGCCGGGAAGGAAGUGAAAAAGUAAAAACCAUAGAGCAUCCGGUCAAUUUUCAAAAUAAAACACAAAUCUCAGCUCAUGUAGCCUAUCACAACUUCACAUCAUCACUACGUCAUGACCGGUGGCACCACAGCAGUCAAUCAAUCAGAGGGUCUCAGAGGGUCGGCAACAUGGACGACGGGAGACUGAUUGUUGAAGUGAAGCAACAUAAAAUAAUUCAUGAAAUAAAUCAUCCUUUUUAUAAGGACAAUGUCAGAAAGGACAAAGCCUGGCAUUUAAUUGCAGUCGUUUUGGGAGUGGAAGGUGAGUACAUUAGGUUUAGGAUUAUCGCUAUCGUUAUCCACGCUGCCGUUACGCGCCCGGUGAAAAUGGACGCAGGGCAGAGUGCGCAGCCGUUCCGCGGCGCGUACUUCCCCGCUGGAAAUCAGGCGUGGGGCUCUGUUUAGAGGACCCCCCGCUCUCUGAGGCUCUGUUUAGAGGUCCCCCCACUCUCUGAGAGCUCUCUGAAGCUCUGUUUAGAGGACCCCCCGCUCUCUGAGGCUCUGUUUAGAGGUCCUCCCGCUCUCUGAGGCUCUGUUUAGAGGUCCCCCCGCUCUCUGAGAGCUCUCUGAAGCUCUGUUUAGAGGUUCCCCCUGCUCUCUGAAGCUCUGUUUAGAGGUUCCCCCUGCUCUCUGAAGCUCUGUUUAGAGGUCCCCCCGCUCUCUGAGAGCUCUCUGAAGCUCUGUUUAGAGGUUCCCCCACUCUCUGAGAGCUCUCUGAGGCUCUGUUUAGAGGUCCCCCCGCUCUCUGAGAGCUCUCUGAAGCUCUGUUUAGAGGUUCCCCCACUCUCUGAGAGCUCUCUGAGGCUCUGUUUAGAGGUCCCCCCGCUCUCUGAGAGCUCUCUGAAGCUCUGUUUAGAGGUCCUCCCGCUCUCUGAGAGCUCUCUGAAGCUCUGUUUAGAGGUUCCCCCUGCUCUCUGAGGCUCUGUUUAGAGGUCCUCCCGCUCUCUGAGGCUCUGUUUAGAGGUCCCCCCGCUCUCUGAGAGCUCUCUGAAGCUCUGUUUAGAGGUCCCCCCGCUCUCUGAGAGCUCUCUGAAGCUCUGUUUAGAGGUUCCCCCUGCUGGUUCCUUAGAUGAUGUACGCAGGACGCCCUGACCCAAGGCUGCUCAAUAAUGAAUGAUGACAAGUCCUGCUGGCAGCAGGCCCAAACAGAGCAGCCUGCUCCCAGUCAGCACACUCUGGAGUCUGGAACACGGACUGAACCAUUAGAGGACCGGGGAACUGAACCAUUAGAGGACAGGGGGACUGAACCAUUAGAGGACCGGGGGACUGAACCAUUGGAGGACAGGGGGACUGAACCAUUAGAGGACCGGGGAACUGAACCAUUAGAGGACAGGGGGACUGAACCAUUAGAGGACCGGGGGACUGAACCAUUAGAGGACCGGGGGACUGAACCGUUAGAGGACAGGCGGACUGAACCGUUAGAGGACAGGGGGACUGAACCGUUAGAGGACAGGGGGACUGAACCGUUAGAGGACAGGGGGACUGAACCGUUAGAGGACAGGGGGACUGAACCGUUAGAGGACAGGGGGACUGAACCGUUAGAGGACAGGGGGACUGAACCGUUAGAGGACAGGGGGACUGAACCAUUAGAGGACAGGGGGACUGAACCAUUAGAGGACAGGGGGACUGAACCAUUAGAGGACAGGGGGACUUAACCAUUAGAGGACAGUGGGACU